UGGCGCACGGGUGCGUAACGCGUGGGAAUCUGCCCUUGGGUUCGGAAUAACUUCUGGAAACGGAAGCUAAUACCGGAUGAUGACGUAAGUCCAAAGAUUUAUCGCCCAAGGAUGAGCCCGCGUAGGAUUAGCUAGUUGGUGGGGUAAAGGCUCACCAAGGCGACGAUCCUUAGCUGGUCUGAGAGGAUGAUCAGCCACACUGGGACUGAGACACGGCCCAGACUCCUACGGGAGGCAGCAGUAGGGAAUAUUGGACAAUGGGCGAAAGCCUGAUCCAGCAAUGCCGCGUGAGUGAUGAAGGCCUUAGGGUUGUAAAGCUCUUUUACCCGGGAUGAUAAUGACAGUACCGGGAGAAUAAGCUCCGGCUAACUCCGUGCCAGCAGCCGCGGUAAUACGGAGGGAGCUAGCGUUGUUCGGAAUUACUGGGCGUAAAGCGC
Molecule: ribosomal RNA, 437 nt
Filed under: Sphingobium yanoikuyae
Lineage: Bacteria; Pseudomonadati; Pseudomonadota; Alphaproteobacteria; Sphingomonadales; Sphingobiaceae
Description: bacterial SSU rRNA
Rfam family: Bacterial small subunit ribosomal RNA
Source: RNAcentral